GUCAGUAUACAUAUCAGACUAUAAUCAUUAUGCAACAGGGUCUUCAGGAUGCUAUAGAACUAAAAGAUUUUAUCUUUUUUUUUUUUUUAAAGUCGACUUUGAUAUGAAUGCCCUGUUUCCUGACCCCACUUUGACCUUUUUAUCAGAGUUAGAAUAAUUUUACUGGAGAUCUUUGUGGUACUAGAAUAGUAAUUACACUUUUGACUCUUAAGAUACUGAAUGAAAAGCUUACAGCUCCUACUACAUACACAAAAUUACUAGUAGAAAGAUCAUAUUCCCAAAAUAGGAGUCCUUAUGAAUUUCAGAUCUGAAUUAAAAGAGGAUAUCCAAUCCAACUUUUUUUUCUUGUUGGACAACCUACUCUUAGAUGAACAAAGCUACAUAAUCCUGAAGUUGAACAAUGCACCUUCUCAUGUUAUAUAAUGUUGCAAAAUAUAUAUGUAGAUAGUUUGACAAAGCUGGAGUAGGCUGUCACUGGGAAUGAGGUGGUGACAUGCUACUCAUCACAAGACACUUGUAACAAAGUCUUGAUAGUAACCCUCAUAUCAAAUUGUUUUUCUGCAUAAUCUUCCUGUUAACAAUCGGAUCCAUGUCAAUUUUUUAAGAAUGGUUCUCUUGCAUAAACUAGGAUACAUUCUGUUCAAAAUUCCUCUGGAACAGACUAAUCCAACUCCUUUGAAAGAGCUCAAGGUUGAUUAUGAACAUGCAAAGCAUCUUGGGGCUCGAUGACAAUAGUGUACCAGUACCAGGAGAGAAGGGUGAGAAGAGCCUUCACAAGGAGUUUGCUCCUCCGUCUGCUGUCUAUUUACCUCUGAGUCUUUAGAGAAAAGGUCCAAAAAGGGACAAGGGUCAGCUUUAUCAUCAUCAUUUAAGGAUGUGCAAAGGCAAAGUUCAUCUGCAGCACUUGCUGUAUUCACUUGUGACAGAUGGGCAAGUCCAGCUUCGCUUUCAAGACACUGAUGGAGCCUAUUCAAGGAUUUCUUUUAGUGCAUCAAAAGUGCUCAGGAGGUAUCUUUGUUUACAGGAAUGAGAAUCUAUCCCUUGGAUUAUACCAAAUGAUCUAGUCAUUCAAUAGCAAGCUUCUAAAACAAAUGAAGAGGACAAAUGCAAGUUAACCAUUCUGUGUUGGUUUGAUUCACUGUGCAUAUACUGCCAGAAACUGAAGGCAGAGGGAUCACAACAGGAUAUAUAGAGAGAGAAAGAGAUUUCACAACAGGAAGGAGAGGACAAGUAGGUGGUUUAUGAGGGUAGGCAAUACCAAGACAAGACGCAUGUGCAUCUAUCUCCCAUGCUCUUCCAGAUGACAUCUCAACUGAGAGAGAGAAUGAGAGAGUGGCAGGAGACAUCAAGAGUUGAUCAGCAACCUCACAUUAAUAUCAGACAUCUCUUUUUGUGAUAUGGAUGGUACCAUGCACUAAUUACUCCCCACCUGUUUGGUUGUUGGUGUACUACAUGAUAACUGAUCCAUGUGGGAGCAAUACCAGACUGCUUCAGCUAGCAGAAAUGACAUGGCCUGGGAAGAAAAAAACCAGCUCUAAGAUGCACAUCCAAGGAAGCUAAGUCAACAUGUUGGGCCAUCCCACCACAUGGUGUCUGUGUGUAGGUUUUCCUGCAUCACAUGUGACUUCCCCUUGUUUUAAGCUGGAGAAGUUGAAGCUUGAGUGGUGUUUUCAGCUCUAGUUCUUUGGACAGUGCAAGAACUCUACCAGUGCUGUAGUGGAGUCAAGGCUGCAGUAACCCCUCCUACUUGGCUGGGAUGUCUGUCAAUGUACCUAGACAAUCUCAGAUGGUUUUAUGUUUAGAAUAUCAAGAACUCAAAAUUUUCAGAAAAUA
This is a long non-coding RNA of Musa acuminata AAA Group (dessert banana), 1833 nucleotides long. RefSeq lists it as uncharacterized. Lineage: Eukaryota; Viridiplantae; Streptophyta; Magnoliopsida; Zingiberales; Musaceae. The transcript is spliced from 4 exons. The record is from RefSeq and is a predicted model, not a curated record.